Molecule: long non-coding RNA, 674 nt
Filed under: Equus asinus (donkey)
Lineage: Eukaryota; Metazoa; Chordata; Mammalia; Perissodactyla; Equidae
Description: lncRNA (ENSEASG00005024982.1)
Source: RNAcentral
UAGCCUCCUCGUUCGUCUUCUCAGGACUCCAGAGAACCGUUGGGGAACUUUGGGGUGUGCUCGGAAAAGGCAGCGUGCGCACCUAGGGCGAGGGACUAGCUGGGAAGGGUGUGCCUGUGCUUGGGGAUGGGAGCAGGAAGUGUCUGGGACCUCGUCGCCCCCGCGGCGGUGUAUAAAGCCGGGCGGGCCGUCAGAGCGGAGCUUCAGAGCAGAGACAAGAGCCCAGAAAGGAGCAGAUGCUAGAUUUGCAAGAUCAGAAGCAGGUCUUGAUCCUCCUGCCCAGGAUGAACCAGACUUGAUGAUGCCACCUUCAGGAGCCACCACACUGUGUGACAGUGGGGCAUUUGGGCCGUCCCUGGGAAGAACAGCUGAAGCACAGUCCUCUGUACUCGCCCAGGAGCCACAGAGAGUGAACAUCCCUCAGACUCUCUCCUGGCUUUGAUGAAGCAAGCUGCCAUGUUGGAGAGGCCUACAUGACAAGGAACUGAAGGUUGCCUCCAGCCAGCUCCAGCCAACAGCCAUCCAGGAAUUGAGGCUCUCAGUCCAACAGGCCUUGAGGAACUGCAUCCAGCCAGCAACUAUAGAAGUGAGCAAAGAAGGGUGUAUUUCCCCAGUCAAGCCUUCAGAUGAGACCCCAGCCCCAGCUGACACCUUAAUUGCAGCCUUGUGAGAGA